Molecule: non-coding RNA, 111 nt
Filed under: Mycetocola reblochoni
Lineage: Bacteria; Bacillati; Actinomycetota; Actinomycetes; Micrococcales; Microbacteriaceae
Also listed under: 1 other name
Description: TPP sequence
Rfam family: TPP riboswitch aptamer (THI element)
About the family: Vitamin B(1) in its active form thiamin pyrophosphate (TPP) is an essential coenzyme that is synthesised by coupling of pyrimidine and thiazole moieties in bacteria. The previously detected thiamin-regulatory element, thi box was extended, resulting in a new, highly conserved RNA secondary structure, the THI element, which is widely distributed in eubacteria and also occurs in some archaea.
Source: RNAcentral
UCGUGACAUCACGGGAGUCCGGUGAACCGGACUGAGAGGAGGGCUUCGAGCCCUCGACCGUCUGAACCUGAUCUGGGUCAUGCCAGCGCAGGGAGACAGCAUCAUCUCAAU